This is a long non-coding RNA of Sander lucioperca (pikeperch), 272 nucleotides long. RefSeq lists it as uncharacterized. The record is from RefSeq and is a predicted model, not a curated record. The transcript has 3 exons. NCBI's taxonomy places the organism in Eukaryota, Metazoa, Chordata, Actinopteri, Perciformes, Percidae.
AUUGUAGGAAAAAAAAUAAUGUUACAGACCCGGGAGAGAGGGGUAAUAUUCAGAGAAAAAAACCCAGAAUUUCUAAGAUUAAAGUCACAAAUUUACGGAAAAAGAACUGGAUAUUCUCUGAGAUUAAAGUGGUAAAUAUGGAAUUGGAAUGAAUUACUUCUCUGCAGUUUUUACACUUUGAAGUCAUCCAGUGGGCCUGAUUGGACCCUUUGGCGGGCCGGUUCUGGCCCACGGGCCGUAUGUUUGACACCACUGCCAUAACACACACACAC